CCAAAUUAUAAUAACAUAUGUUAUAAAAUUAGGUCCCUAUACAUGCCACUCACUUGAUAAUUCUAGCAUAUGUGUUUAUACUGUCAAGGUGUUGGCUUGAUGUGUGAUGCUGCCUCCGACUGUAACACCUCCUAACCCCAAACUGUUACCAGAACGAGGUUAUGAGGCAUUACCGGACGUAUCGAACGAUUUACAACAAUUCUUAAAUAAAUAACCAAUAUAUUAAAAUAAUUCAUAAAAUUUAUUAGUUUGUUUACCAAAUGACUUCAUUUUUUUUUUUUAAUAAAAAUUUCGGCAGCAUUUCUGCUUACUUUUACAUAAAAUCCUCUGCAAAUUAAAACCAUAUAGUUCCCAAAUAUCAUCAAUUCAACCAAUUCAUUUCACAUUCACAUUUUCUAUUCUAAAUACUUCUAAUCAAACUCAAUCUACACAAUAUCAAUUUAAAAUUUAACAAUGUACUAAUUAGAUAAAAUAGAUAGACUUCUUUCAUUAAAAUCCAUAAACUUUUAAUACUAACAUUUUUAACCAUUAUAUAUUAAAACAUAAUAACCUUUAUACACAAUCUAUGUACAUGCCACCUUUACCAAAGGAAAAAUACAUCACCAAGUUUUGCCGAAGCCGGGAUUAAUCUGGAUGCUGAACCGGGACCUUUGACUUCUAUUGACCUGCGCACGGAAACAACCGUACGCUGAGUAAUUCAUACUCAGUGGUAUUACCAUAAUUCAAAUUAUAACAAUAAUGUACAUGUAAAGCAUAAAUCGUAUAUACAAUUUAAAUUAAAUAUUUCAACAAUAGCAAUUCAUCAACCAAUAUCGUAUAUCCACAAUUUGAGUUUGAAUAAUUCACGAACCUUAGGUUCAUUUCUCAAUCUCAUUUCACAUUUCAAUUCACAAUUCAACUUUUUCAUAUCAUUUCAAUAGCUCGUUUGACCAACUCGUUCGGUUUAUCAUUUCAUCAUUUACCCUAUUAACAAAACUCGGACUUUGGCGGAUACACGGAUCCAACCAAACACACCAGAAUGGCACCCAGUGCCUCAUCGGAUAGUUCGAAGCAAUAGUUGACACCCAGUGUCUCAUCGGCAAAGCCGAAGAAAGUUGGUACCCAGUACCUCAUCGAAUCUAUCCGAAGAAAUAUAGUGACACCCAGUGUCUCAUCGACUCGAGGUCGAAGUAUCCCUGAACUCUUCCAAUCCUAUGGCAUGCCAACUAUAUCCGACUCAGCCCGACUAGUUAAUAGGGUAUUUAAAUCACAUAUAUUCUCAAUUCAAUCACACUUUUUCACACUUUCAAUUCAAUCAUUUUUCCACCUUUCAAUCAAUAAUUAAUCCGCAAUUAACAUACUUUCACAACUCAAUACAUUUCCAUUCAAUUUAAUAUCGGUCACUAUUCGAUUUAAAUUCAUUUCCCGCUUUCAAUCAACAAACAAUUCAAAUAUUAUUUCAUAUCAACUAUUCAAUUUAAUUCCCACUCAUAAUAAUAAUACUAAUAAUAAUACUAAUACUAAUAUUAAUACUUACCUCACAUUUCAUUUACUAGACACAUAAAUUAAAAUUUAACAUAAAAAAAAUAAAUAAUUUGAAUUAUAGUAAUACAAACCGUAAUUUUCUCGAGUUUACUCCUCGAUAAUCUUCUCUUUUCCCUUCCGUGCCGACGCUUCUGGUUCUUUGCUAGCUACGAAAAUGAUAAUAAUUUAUACUAUUAAUUUCAGCACUAAUUAUGAUAAUAAUUAAAUUUCUAUUCAAUUUCUUCCUUAUUCUCAAUUUAAUCCUAACUAAAUUCACUUACUUUCCUAAUUCAAUUCACACUCUAUUUCUAUUCAAAUUUCAUCCAAACUAAAAUUUAACUAUCAAAAUUUCAGCAUAUUUUGGUAAUUUCGAAUUUCCCUCAAUUUAGUCCCUAAAACAUAAAACUUAUAGUUUCUUUUACAAUUUAAUCCCUUUUUCAAUUCUAACUUAAAAUUCCUUCAAGUUAAUCCCUAAUUCAUCUCUUUUGUUCAACAUAAACUAUACUUGAAAACCUAUGAACUUACAAAAUAUCAACUUAAUUCCAUCAAAACUUUGUUUUAAAGCUUUUAAAACAUUAGAAUUAAGAGAAAAGGGCUAAUUUGACUUACCAAUUUAAAUUUCAAGCUUCAAAAACCCUAUUUUCCCUUUUUUCUUCUUUUUCUUCUUUCUCCCCUGCUUCUCCCCUGUUUCGUCUCUUCUAUUCUGUUUCUUUGUUCUUUCUAUUCUGUUUCUUUUCUGUUUUGUUUCUUUUAUAUAUAAUAAUAUAAUAUUUAUAAUGUAAUUAAUUUAAUAAUAUACUUUAUAAUUAAUUUAUAUAUUUAUAUAAAUAAUAAUAUAAAAAUCUAAGAUUUUUACAAUGUUAUGCCGCCUCAACUUCCAAAUGUGGCUUAAUUGCCCAUUUGGUCCCUGUUAUUUUCCUUUAAUCUAUAAUUAAACUUUUACUCUUAUUCAAUUUAAUCCUUUUUACUAAUUACUCUAAAUUAAGCUAAAUUUACUUAAUUAAAACCUAAUUAAACACACUACUAGUCUCGUAAAUAUUUCUAAUAAUUAUUUUCGGACUCAAUUUACUAGGACGGAGGCCCGAUAUUAUACUUUUCCGAUGCCCAUGAAUUUUGGGUCAUUACAUUUCUCCCCCUCUUAAUAAAUUUCGUCCUCGAAAUUUACCUGAGAAGAGAUGAGGAUAUUGUGCUCUCAUUGUCUCUUCCGGCUCCCAAGUUGCUUCUUCCACACUAUGGCUUCUCCAUAAAACUUUUACUAAAGGAACCCGUUUAUUUCUUAAUUCUUUCACUUCUCGUGCUAAUAUUUGAACUGGUUCUUCUUCAUAAGUUAAAUCAGAUCGAAGUUCAAUGUCUUCAGUGGGAAUAACAUGAGAAGGAUCCGAUCUAUAUCUCCGAAGCAUCGAAACAUGAAAAACAUCAUGAAUUUUCUGUAACUCUGGAGGUAAGGAUAAUCGAUAAGCAACAGGCCCAAUUCUUUCCACUAUCUCAUACGGCCCAAUAAAGCGCGGACUUAAUUUUCCCUUCCGACCAAAUCUCAAAAUUUUCUUCCACGGUGAUACUUUGAGGAAUACCUUAUCACCAACGGAAUAUUCAAUGUCUAAUCGUUUCAAGUCUGCGUAAGAUUUCUGUCUGUCGAAAGCGGCUUUCAGUCUAUCUUUAAUCUUUUUAACUGUUUCUUCUGUCUCUUGAAUCAAUUCCGGCCCAAUCACUUUUCUUUCUCUUAAUUCUGUCCAACAUAUUGGUGAUCGACACCUUCGACCAUAAAGUGCUUCAUAUGGAGCCAUUUGAAUACUAGAUUGGAAACUAUUAUUAUAAACAAACUCGGCCAAUGGUAAAUAACGUUCCCAACCUGAUUCAAAAUCAAUGACACAAGCUCGAAGCAUAUCUUCUAAUAUCUGAAUUACUCGUUCAGAUUGUCCAUCAGUUUGAGGAUGAAAAGCUGUACUGAAACUAAGUCGAGUACCCAAUGAUUCAUGCAGCUGCUUCCAAAAUCUCGAAGUGAAUCGAGGAUCUCUGUCUGAAAUUAUUGAUACCGGAAUACCAUGUAAUCUAACAAUUUCUCGAAUAUAAACCUCGGCAAGCUUCUGUAAUGACCAGUCGGUUCUAACUGCUAUAAAAUGAGCUGAUUUUGUGAGUCGAUCAACAAUCACCCAAAUAACAUUCUUUUUACUCACUGAUAAUGGCAACCCCGUAACAAAAUCCAUGGUAAUGCGAUCCCAUUUCCACUCGGGAAUAGUAAUAGGCUGUAACAGGCCUGUUGGUACCUGAUGUUCUGCUUUUACCUGCUGACAAGUCAAGCAUUUACUGACAUAUUCAACUAUAUCUUUCUUCAUUCCUGGCCACCAAUACAGUUCUCGUAGAUCACGAUACAUCUUCGUUCCUCCUGGGUGCAAAGCAAAAAUACUAUCAUGUGCUUCUCGGAGAAUCAAUUCUUUAAUCUCAGAAGUAGAUGGAACACAAAUUCGAUUCCGAAAUCUCAAACAAUCAUGCUCGUCAAUACUAAAAUUUUCUACCGCACCAUACUGUACCAUUUCUAUUUUCCUCAUCAACUUUUCAUCUUUUAACUGUGCUGCUCUGAUUUGAUCAAACCUCACCGGCUUGACUCUUAACUCAGCUAACAAACUUCCAUCAUCCUUAAUACUAAGUCGAGCGAACAUUGCUCGUAAUUCAAUCGCUGCUUUUCUACUCAAUGCAUCUGCUACCACAUUUGCCUUCCCUGGAUGAUAAUCUAUAACACAAUCAUAAUCUUUCAGAAGUUCAAUCCACCGUCUCUGUCUCAGAUUCAACUCCUUUUGUGACAGAAGAUAUUUAAGACUUUUAUGAUCAGUGUAAAUAUAACAUUUCUCACCAUACAAGUAAUGUCUCCAAAUCUUCAAUGCAAAUAUUACAGCAGCUAACUCUAAAUCGUGUGUCGGGUAGUUGCGUUCAUGUGACUUCAACUGUCGAGAUGCAUAAGCUAUUACUUUUCCUUCUUGCAUCAAUACACAACCCAAACCAUUCAAAGAAGCAUCACUGUACACUAUGAAAUCUUUCCCUGAUUCUGGUAAAGUUAAAACUGGUGCCUCUGUCAACAUCUGUUUCAAUGUUUCAAAGCUCCUCUGACACUGAUCAUCCCAGAUAAAUGGAACAUUCUUCUGUAGUAAUUUGGUCAUCGGCAAAGCUAUCUUCGAAAACCCAUUUACAAAUCUUCUGUAAUACCCAGCCAAACCAAGAAAACUGCGUACCUCUGAUACAUUCUUUGGUGCCUUCCAUUGAACAAUUGCCUCGAUCUUCUUCGGAUCAACUCUAAUCCCAUCCGCAGAUACAACAUGUCCCAAGAAUACUACCUCUGAUAACCAGAAUUCACAUUUACUUAGUUUCCCGUACAACUGUUUUUCUCGCAGAAUCUGUAGCACGGUUCUGAGAUGCUGAUCAUGCUCUGACUCUGACUUCGAAUAAACCAAGAUGUCAUCAAUAAAAACCACCACAAACUAAUCUAAAUACGGCUGAAAAAUACGAUUCAUCAGAUCCAUAAAAGCAGCUGGAGCAUUAGUCAACCCGAACGGCAUCACCAAAAAUUCAUAAUGACCAUAUCGAGUACGAAAUGCAGUCUUCGGAACAUCACUUUCUUUUACCUUCAGCUGAUAAUACCCAGAUCUUAAGUCAAUCUUUGAAAAUACUGAAGCUCCUUUUAGCUGAUCAAAAAAAUCAUCUAUACGGGGUAACGGAUACCGGUUCUUGAUCGUCACUUUGUUUAACUGCCGGUAAUCAAUACAAAGCCGCAUCGAUCCAUCUUUCUUUUUAACAAACAAUACUGGAGCUCCCCAAGGUGAAAUGCUCGGUCUAAUAAAUCCACGAUCUGACAAGUCCUGUAACUGCACUUUCAACUCUUUCAACUCAGUGGGUGACAUUCGAUACGGUGGUAUAGAGAUUGGUGCUGUACCCGGAUACACUUCUAUAGCAAAUUCAACCUCUCUGUCAGGUGGUAAACCCGGUAGCUCUUCAGGAAAUACAUCUGGAAACUCACAUACGGUUCUAAUCUUACUGCACUGACUACCAACCAAAUCAGAAUUAAUAACAUAGGCUAAAUACGCUGUACAACCCCGCUGAAGCAAUUUAUUAGCCUUUAUUGCCGAAAUAAUACGUGUCGGCCCAUUAGUACGGAUACCAUUUACCUCAAUUCUGUCCCCGUCUUCUGUCUGAAUACUAAACUUCUUUUUAUAACAAUCCAAUACCACUCCGUGCUCAGCCAACCAAUCCAUCCCCAGUAUUAUAUCAAAAUCUCCAAAUGGCAUAAUCAACAGGUCAAUAGGAAAAGUUUUAUUUUGUAUAAUUAACGGGCAUCUCGGACAGAUCUGAUUCACUAAUACUGUUUGCCCCAACGGACUCGACACUUCUACAGUCACUCUAGAUAUUUCAGAAUUAAAUUUUCCCAAUUCAACUAAUUUUGAAUUUAUAUAAGAAUGUGAAGAUCCGGGAUCAAUUAAAGCAUAAACAGGCUCAGAAUAUAGUAAGAAUAUACCUGUUACUACAUCGUGGGCGUCACCUUCUUCCCGUGUUCUGACCACAUAAGCUCUGGCAGGUACUUUAGCCUCAGACUGCUGAGUAGCAAUAUCAUUGCUUCUCCUAAUACUUCCUCCCCUUGAAACCGAACCACCUCUUCCUAACCCUCUGCUUCUAGCUGUAGAUACCGAUCUCUGUGAUGUCACGGGUACAGUACUAUCAACUUUCGGACAGUCUCUGAUGAAAUGGUCUGUAGAACCACAUCGAAAACAGCCUCUAGUUAAUUUCCAACAUUCCCCUCUGUGUUUCUUUCCGCAGUGUUGGCAGUCUGGAAUAUCUAUUUCUCGGGAAGGACCUCUCACACUGCCAGUAGAUGUCAUCGUCUGUUUUCCCCUACUUCUACCACCUCUGUCUGACCUGAAACUGGAUCUCCAACCACUUUGGAAUUCCUUUGGUCUUUUCGGCUGAGGAUUCGAACUGGUAGUUCCUGUACGCUUCCCGGUUGGUCUAACAACUUCAGUCUUUUUGUCGAGGCCCAGAACUUGUUCCACCAUUUUAGCUCGUUCAAUCAAAUCUACUAACUCAGUGAUCCGAUGGGAUACUAGCUGCACUUUGAUCUCGUCUCGUAAACCCCGUAAAAAUCUUUUACAACUAUCGGCUUCUGUCGGAAUAAACUCGGAGGCAUAUCUACUGAGUCUCGAGAAUUCCCUCUCAUAAUCUAUUACUGACAUAUCAUCCUGUUGUAGCAACAAAAACUCUUGUUUCUUGUCUUCAAUAUACAUCUCUCCGAUAUAUUUCUUUUGAAACUCCUUCUGAAAUAGAUCCCACGUUAUCUGACUCUCUGGUAAAUGUCGAACCACUGAUUCCCACCAUAGAUAAGCCUCCCCUUGUAAUAACGAUACGGCACAGAUUAAACACUCUCGGGGGGUACAAUCCAAUUGCUGCAAAAUUCUUUUAGUCGACUCCAUCCAAUUUUCAGCUAUGGAUGGAUCAACUCCUUUUAGACCCAUAAAUUCAGUGGCACCAUAUUUCCUCAGUUCCUUUAUCGGAGCCCGUCUAACAGUAGGUACUGAAGUCGUAACAGGAGUAGUUCCUGCUACUCUUUGUAAUGCAUCAGCUAUAAUUCUCAGUAAUUGGGAUUCAUCUCUAUCUCUGACAUUUUCUCGUUCUACAUUAGAAGGUUGGUUGCCUAACGGAUUCACACUCGGUGCAACAGAUUCUGUUUCAUCUAAUUCUCUAUCUUCACUAUACAUUCUUUCAUCAGUAUCAUUUAUUCUUUCUUCAGACAUCUUUAAUCUAUAAAACAAAACAAACAAAUAGGUCAGCAUCCAAAAAAUCCCGACUCAGUUUAACUCGAUAGUGGCAUGUACAUCUAGACUCAAUUCCGAGCUCGAUUUAGGCCGAGAAUCGGCUAAACCUGAUAGCUCUGAUACCAAUAAUUGUAACACCUCCUAACCCCAAACUGUUACCAGAACGAGGUUAUGAGGCAUUACCGGACGUAUCGAACGAUUUACAACAAUUCUUAAAUAAAUAACCAAUAUAUUAAAAUAAUUCAUAAAAUUUAUUAGUUUGUUUACCAAAUGACUUCAUUUUUUUUUUAAUAAAAAUUUCGGCAGCAUUUCUGCUUACUUUUACAUAAAAUCCUCUGCAAAUUAAAACCAUAUAGUUCCCAAAUAUCAUCAAUUCAACCAAUUCAUUUCACAUUCACAUUUUCUAUUCUAAAUACUUCUAAUCAAACUCAAUCUACACAAUAUCAAUUUAAAAUUUAACAAUGUACUAAUUAGAUAAAAUAGAUAGACUUCUUUCAUUAAAAUCCAUAAACUUUUAAUACUAACAUUUUUAACCAUUAUAUAUUAAAACAUAAUAACCUUUAUACACAAUCUAUGUACAUGCCACCUUUACCAAAGGAAAAAUACAUCACCAAGUUUUGCCGAAGCCGGGAUUAAUCUGGAUGCUGAACCGGGACCUUUGACUUCUAUUGACCUGCGCACGGAAACAACCGUACGCUGAGUAAUUCAUACUCAGUGGUAUUACCAUAAUUCAAAUUAUAACAAUAAUGUACAUGUAAAGCAUAAAUCGUAUAUACAAUUUAAAUUAAAUAUUUCAACAAUAGCAAUUCAUCAACCAAUAUCGUAUAUCCACAAUUUGAGUUUGAAUAAUUCACGAACCUUAGGUUCAUUUCUCAAUCUCAUUUCACAUUUCAAUUCACAAUUCAACUUUUUCAUAUCAUUUCAAUAGCUCGUUUGACCAACUCGUUCGGUUUAUCAUUUCAUCAUUUACCCUAUUAACAAAACUCGGACUUUGGCGGAUACACGGAUCCAACCAAACACACCAGAAUGGCACCCAGUGCCUCAUCGGAUAGUUCGAAGCAAUAGUUGACACCCAGUGUCUCAUCGGCAAAGCCGAAGAAAGUUGGUACCCAGUACCUCAUCGAAUCUAUCCGAAGAAAUAUAGUGACACCCAGUGUCCCAUCGACUCGAGGUCGAAGUAUCCCUGAACUCUUCCAAUCCUAUGGCAUGCCAACUAUAUCCGACUCAGCCCGACUAGUUAAUAGGGUAUUUAAAUCACAUAUAUUCUCAAUUCAAUCACACUUUUUCACACUUUCAAUUCAAUCAUUUUUCCACCUUUCAAUCAAUAAUUAAUCCGCAAUUAACAUACUUUCACAACUCAAUACAUUUCCAUUCAAUUUAAUAUCGGUCACUAUUCGAUUUAAAUUCAUUUCCCGCUUUCAAUCAACAAACAAUUCAAAUAUUAUUUCAUAUCAACUAUUCAAUUUAAUUCCCACUCAUAAUAAUAAUACUAAUAAUAAUACUAAUACUAAUAUUAAUACUUACCUCACAUUUCAUUUACUAGACACAUAAAUUAAAAUUUAACAUAAAAAAAAUAAAUAAUUUGAAUUAUAGUAAUACAAACCGUAAUUUUCUCGAGUUUACUCCUCGAUAAUCUUCUCUUUUCCCUUCCGUGCCGACGCUUCUGGUUCUUUGCUAGCUACGAAAAUGAUAAUAAUUUAUACUAUUAAUUUCAGCACUAAUUAUGAUAAUAAUUAAAUUUCUAUUCAAUUUCUUCCUUAUUCUCAAUUUAAUCCUAACUAAAUUCACUUACUUUCCUAAUUCAAUUCACACUCUAUUUCUAUUCAAAUUUCAUCCAAACUAAAAUUUAACUAUCAAAAUUUCAGCAUAUUUUGGUAAUUUCGAAUUUCCCUCAAUUUAGUCCCUAAAACAUAAAACUUAUAGUUUCUUUUACAAUUUAAUCCCUUUUUCAAUUCUAACUUAAAAUUCCUUCAAGUUAAUCCCUAAUUCAUCUCUUUUGUUCAACAUAAACUAUACUUGAAAACCUAUGAACUUACAAAAUAUCAACUUAAUUCCAUCAAAACUUUGUUUUAAAGCUUUUAAAACAUUAGAAUUAAGAGAAAAGGGCUAAUUUGACUUACCAAUUUAAAUUUCAAGCUUCAAAAACCCUAUUUUCCCUUUUUUCUUCUUUUUCUUCUUUCUCCCCUGCUUCUCCCCUGUUUCGUCUCUUCUAUUCUGUUUCUUUGUUCUUUCUAUUCUGUUUCUUUUCUGUUUUGUUUCUUUUAUAUAUAAUAAUAUAAUAUUUAUAAUGUAAUUAAUUUAAUAAUAUACUUUAUAAUUAAUUUAUAUAUUUAUAUAAAUAAUAAUAUAAAAAUCUAAGAUUUUUACAAUGUUAUGCCGCCUCAACUUCCAAAUGUGGCUUAAUUGCCCAUUUGGUCCCUGUUAUUUUCCUUUAAUCUAUAAUUAAACUUUUACUCUUAUUCAAUUUAAUCCUUUUUACUAAUUACUCUAAAUUAAGCUAAAUUUACUUAAUUAAAACCUAAUUAAACACACUACUAGUCUCGUAAAUAUUUCUAAUAAUUAUUUUCGGACUCAAUUUACUAGGACGGAGGCCCGAUAUUAUACUUUUCCGAUGCCCAUGAAUUUUGGGUCAUUACACCGACGAUCUCCAACCCUGAGCUAACUUGACAACAUUAAAAGAAAUGGAAAGGAGGGGGUAAGCUUUACGCUUAGUAAGCUCGCAUGAAAUAAUAAUAAGCAAUUUACUAACAUGCUUUCCAUAGUAAAACUAAUCCAAUUGUACAUUUACACAUGUUCUGGUUAAGCUGCUUUCUUGAGUAACAUUCACUAAAUCAUUUAUAUCUGAAGUUACGGAACUCUAAAUUAAGAUCCGUAAAUUUUCCCAGAAACUAUACUUAUAUAUCUUUCCACCAUAAAAUUUUCAGAAUUUUUGGUCCAGCCAAUAAGUACAGUUUAUUAUUCAAAUUCUCCCCUGUUUCGCUGUUUGACAGCUUCGACCUUUCUUCACUAAAAUAUAUUUAUCUCAUAGUACGAGACUCGGAUAAUGUUCCCUUUUGUUUCUAUUAAAAUUAGACUCAUCAAAUAUUCUAAGCAUAUAAAUUAUAACCAAUAAUUAUUUUUCUACAAUUUUUAACAAUUUUUCCAAGUCAAAACAGGGGAUCUCGAAUUCAUUAUGAGACUAUCUCACAAAAAUUAGAAUAUCACAUAAUAUACAACUCUUUUUCUCCCUCUGUUUCUUUUAUAUGAAAAUAGACUCAUUAAUCUUUAAUUCAUAAUUUAUUUGAAAUUUAAUUCAACUUACACAAUUUUUGGUGAAUUUUCAAAGUCUUACAACUGCUGCUGUCCAAUACUAUUUUACUACUAAAAUUCACUAUUACAUAAUUUCACUUAAUCCAUUUUGUCUUAUCGAAGUUCACUCAAAUAUCAAGCAUAUUGCUCAAAAUUUUCAUAAAUAUAUACCUGCACUUAUUCAUCACAUAAUCAUGUUCACAUGUAUUUUUACUUAAUCGAUUUUCCCGUUGAACUCUUCGGAAUAAUAACUUAUACUCAGUUGUCUACACAUAUUUUUACACUUGUAGCCAAAGCUAUCUGGUACGCAUAGUAGCUUGCACUUAGUACUACACACGUGACCUAACCAUCUACUACACGUAGUAGCCUGCACUUAGUACUACACACGUGAUCGAAGUUAUCGGGUACGCAUAGUAGCCUGCACUUAGUACUACACACGUGACCUCACAAUAGAUCAUUCGUAUCGUUUCUAUUCGGAAGGCUUGACCGGGAAAUUCCUCACUUUCCAACAUGUUACAAUUUAUUCAUAGUCCUUUUUCCAUUUGCAAUUUACAACAAAUAAUCAUUAUAUAGGCAGUCACAUUUCAUAUGAUAACAAAAUAUAAUAAAAUAAAAAAAAUCGAUAAAUUAUUUACGUACAAACUUACCUCGGAUCCAAAAAUGACAAUUUACCAUUCUAGUCCAUAACCUCAUAUUUUCCUGAUUUAAGCCCAAAUCUCGAUUUCCUUAAUCUAUAAUAUCACAUUUAGCCUACUAAUUAGUCACACUAUUCAUAUGGGUCUAAAAAUCAUAUUUUUAUAAAUUUUCAUUUGACCCCUAAACUUUUGCAUAUUUGCACUUUUUCCCCAAGGUUCGGAAAUUAAACUUCUUCCUAUUUUCUUAUGUUUUAUGACAUGGUGAUCAUUUUUCCCUUCUAUGGCAACAUCAAAUUCUCACUCUAACAUGUACUUAUGAACAUUAGGUAUUUUUAACGAUUAUACCGUUUUACUCGUUUUCACGUAAAAUCGCUUAGCAAAAGUUGUUUAACAUAAUUUCAAGCUUCAUAUUCUACCAUUAAACAUCAAAAUACAUGCAUAUCAUUUAUAGGUAAAUUUUUAAACAUAAAUCCUAGCUCAAAAUAAUGGUAGAAAUGAGCAGAUCGUUACCAGGAUUUCAAAAAUACAUAGAACAUUAAAAACGGAGCUCAGAAUCACUUACUAUUAAAGUUGGAAGCUUGGCCAAACCCUAACCAUGGCUGCUCUUGGUACAUUCUGCUGUAGUAAGA
This 11847-nucleotide long non-coding RNA is filed under the name Gossypium barbadense (sea-island cotton). RNAcentral's name for it is "long non-coding RNA (GBAR_LNC003777)". The record is from RNAcentral. Lineage: Eukaryota; Viridiplantae; Streptophyta; Magnoliopsida; Malvales; Malvaceae.